UUUUCUUCGGGUCUUGAACUGUGGUAAGUUGAUAAACCAAGCACAUGAUCUAAUGACAUUAAACAAAGUUUUAGUUUACAUCAAGUUUUUAAUUCCAUCCCUAAACACUUCCUAUCAUCUCCAUUUUUAUAUAUUAAAAUUUUCUUUUUUGGCGGAAUGAAAAACUUUUUUAAAACUUCACUGACGUUGUAAUAGCUUUGACUGAUAUUGGUUCACUUCGGUUAAAUUUUUU
This 232-nucleotide long non-coding RNA is filed under the name Gossypium barbadense (sea-island cotton). Its description in RNAcentral is "long non-coding RNA (GBAR_LNC010737)". Lineage: Eukaryota; Viridiplantae; Streptophyta; Magnoliopsida; Malvales; Malvaceae. The record is from RNAcentral.